Molecule: ribosomal RNA, 445 nt
Filed under: uncultured bacterium
Lineage: Bacteria
Description: partial 16S ribosomal RNA
Rfam family: Bacterial small subunit ribosomal RNA
Source: RNAcentral
GUGAGGAAUAUUGGUCAAUGGGCGGGAGCCUGAACCAGCCAAGUCGCGUGAAGGAAGAAGGAUCUAUGGUUCGUAAACUUCUUUUGCAGGGGAAUAAAGUGCAGGACGUGUCCUGUUUUGUAUGUACCCUGAGAAUAAGGAUCGGCUAACUCCGUGCCAGCAGCCGCGGUAAUACGGAGGAUCCGAGCGUUAUCCGGAUUUAUUGGGUUUAAAGGGUACGUAGGUGGUUUGAUAAGUCAGCGGUGAAAGUUUGCAGCUUAACUGUAAAAAUGCCGUUGAAACUGUCGGACUUGAGUGUAAAUGAGGUAGGCGGAAUGCGUGGUGUAGCGGUGAAAUGCAUAGAUAUCACGCAGAACUCCGAUUGCGAAGGCAGCUUACUAAGCUACAACUGACACUGAAGCACGAAAGCGUGGGGAUCAAACAGGAUUAGAAACCCGAGUAGUCC